This 30-nucleotide non-coding RNA is filed under the name Rattus norvegicus (Norway rat). The record is from RNAcentral. Lineage: Eukaryota; Metazoa; Chordata; Mammalia; Rodentia; Muridae.
UACCCUCGUACAUAGCUUACGAGUUUGGCC